This 374-nucleotide ribosomal RNA is filed under the name uncultured organism. RNAcentral's name for it is "partial 16S ribosomal RNA". It matches the Rfam family "Bacterial small subunit ribosomal RNA", at positions 527 to 896 of the family's 1533-position model. The record is from RNAcentral.
GUAGGUGGCAAGCGUUGUCCGGAAUUAUUGGGCGUAAAGCGCGCGCAGGCGGUUCUUUAAGUCUGAUGUGAAAGCCCACGGCUCAACCGUGGAGGGUCAUUGGAAACUGGAGAACUUGAGUACAGAAGAGAAAAGCGGAAUUCCACGUGUAGCGGUGAAAUGCGUAGAGAUGUGGAGGAACACCAGUGGCGAAGGCGGCUUUCUGGUCUGUAACUGACGCUGAGGCGCGAAAGCGUGGGGAGCAAACAGGGAUUAGAUACCCUGGUAGUCCACGCCGUAAACGAUGAGUGCUAAGUGUUAGGGGGGUUUCCGCCCCCUUAGUGCUGCAGCUAACGCAUUAAGCACUCCGCCUGGGGAGUACGGCCGCAAGGCUG